ACGGAGGGGGCAAGCGUUGUUCGGAAUUACUGGGCGUAAAGCGCGCGUAGGCGGCCGUGCAAGUCAGAUAUGAAAGCCCUCGGCUCAACCGGGGAACUGCGUCUGAUACUGCAUGACUUGAGUCCGGUAGAGGAUGGCGGAAUUCCCGGUGUAGCGGUGGAAUUCGUAGAUAUCGGGAAGAACACCGAUGGCGAAGGCGGCCAUCUGGGCCGGAACUGACGCUGAGGCGCGAGAGCGAGGGGAGCAAACAG
RNAcentral lists this ribosomal RNA (251 nucleotides) under uncultured prokaryote. RNAcentral's name for it is "partial 16S rRNA". It matches the Rfam family "Bacterial small subunit ribosomal RNA", at positions 525 to 775 of the family's 1533-position model. The record is from RNAcentral.